Molecule: unclassified non-coding RNA, 523 nt
Filed under: Hevea brasiliensis (rubber tree)
Lineage: Eukaryota; Viridiplantae; Streptophyta; Magnoliopsida; Malpighiales; Euphorbiaceae
Source: RNAcentral
AAAAAUAAAAAAAAUAAAAAAAAAUAAAAAUAAAAGCCCUAAAACUUAAAACCCUACGCUCACCAUGAAUGAUUGAGAAAAAUAGUAUUGGUUGUGGAAAAUCCUACUCACAAUUCUAUAAGAAAGGUCAACAAAUCAGAGGAAAAAAUUCCUCAAAGCGUAGUACAAGUCCUCAUAUAGUAAGUUCUAAUCAUGCUAAAAGAAUAUGUAUAAUCACAAAUAGCAUGAAAAAGGCAGUAUUUUAGAGCGUGUCCCAUGAGUGAUUGACCACAGAUAUGGUAGAAACUUGUUAUGAGAGAAUAUUGUCCAAGAGGACCUCAAAAAAGGUAACUAAGUACACAGCCACACUCCUUACAUCCAUCCGUCUAAGCAUGCUAUCAAUCUAGCACCACCUAGAAAUCACUAGAUAAACCACUUCAACCAUAAAGAAGACACAAUCAAAGCAAUACUUUAUAAUUACAAAGUACCUUGAAAUUAACAAAAGCACUCAGGAUAUACAAUAUGUAUGCCUCGUGGAUGAAGA